RNAcentral lists this ribosomal RNA (468 nucleotides) under uncultured bacterium. Its description in RNAcentral is "partial 16S ribosomal RNA". It matches the Rfam family "Bacterial small subunit ribosomal RNA", at positions 28 to 507 of the family's 1533-position model. The record is from RNAcentral.
GACGAACGCUGGCGGCGUGCUUAACACAUGCAACUCGAACGGAAAGGCCCUGCUUUUGUGGGGUGCUCGAGUGGCGAACGGGCGAGUAACACGUGAGUAACCUGCCCUUGACUUUGGGAUAACUUCAGGAACCUGGGGCCAAUACCGGAUAGGAGCUCCUGCUGCAUGGUGGGGGUUGGAAGGUUUCGGCGGUUGGGGAUGGACUCGCGGCUUAUCAGCUUGUUGGUGGGGUAGUGGCUUACCAAGGCUUUGACGGGUAGCCGGCCUGAGAGGGUGACCGGCCACCUUGGGACUGAGAUACGGCCCAGACUCCUACGGGAGGCAGCAGUGGGGAAUAUUGCACAAUGGGCGGAAGCCUGAUGCAGCAACGCCGCGUGCGGGAUGACGGCCUUCGGGGUGUAAACCGCUUUCGCCUGUGACGAAGCGUGAGUGACGGUAAUGGGUAAAGAAGCAGCGGCUAACUACGUG